This 497-nucleotide ribosomal RNA is filed under the name uncultured bacterium. RNAcentral's name for it is "bacterial SSU rRNA". It matches the Rfam family "Bacterial small subunit ribosomal RNA", at positions 28 to 512 of the family's 1533-position model. The record is from RNAcentral.
GACGAACGCUGGCGGCGUGGAUUAGGCAUGCAAGUCGGACGGUAGGGCUUUAUCGUAAGAUAGAGUUUGAGAGUGGCGAACGGGUGAGUAACACGUAGGAAUCUACCCUUAAGACGGGGACAACCCAGGGAAACUUGGGCUAAUACCGGAUGAGAGUGCGAGAGAUUGCAUUUAAAAGGAUGGCGAAAGUUGUCGCUUAGGGAUGAGCCUGCGGUCUAUUAGUUAGUUGGUGAGGUAAGAGCUCACCAAGGCGAUGAUAGAUAGGCGGCCUUAACGGGUGGUCGCCCACACUGGGAUUGAGAUACGGCCCAGACUCCUACGGGAGGCAGCAGUCGAGAAUAGUCUACAAUGGCCGGAAGACUGAUAGUGCGACGCCGCGUGAACGAUGAAUCCCUUCGGGUGUAAGUUCUUUUAUAUGUGAGCAGUGCUUCUUAUAUUAACAGUAUGGGGAGAGAGAUAUUAGCAUAUGAAUAAGCAACGGCUAACUCCGUGCCAGC